AGAAUCAACGCUGGCGGCGUGCCUAACACAUGCAAGUCGAACGAGAAAGUGGAGCAAUCCAUGAGUAAAGUGGCGCACGGGUGAGUAACACGUGACUAACCUACCCUUGAGUGGGGGAUAACCUAGGGAAACCUGGGCUAAUACCGCAUAAUACCUUCGGGUCAAAGGAGCAAUUCGCUUAAGGAGGGGGUCGCGGCCGAUUAGUUAGUUGGCGGGGUAAUGGCCCACCAAGACUGUGAUCGGUAUCCGGCCUGAGAGGGCGCACGGACACACUGGAACUGAAACACGGUCCAGACUCCUACGGGAGGCAGCAGUGGGGAAUUUGCGCAAUGGGGGAAACCCUGACGCAGCAACGCCGCGUGGAGGAUGAAGCCCCUUGGGGCGUAAACUCCUUUCGAUCGGGACGAUAAUGACGGUACCGGAAGAAGAAGCCCCGGCUAACUUCGCGCCAGCAGCCGC
RNAcentral lists this ribosomal RNA (459 nucleotides) under uncultured bacterium. Its description in RNAcentral is "SSU rRNA". It matches the Rfam family "Bacterial small subunit ribosomal RNA", at positions 26 to 518 of the family's 1533-position model. The record is from RNAcentral.